CGCCUCUUGCAACACACUAAAAGAAUAAGAGGUCCCGCCUGCCCUGUGACUAUAUGUUUAACGGCCGCGGUAUUUUGACCGUGCGAAGGUAGCGCAAUCACUUGUCUCUUAAAUGGGGACCUGUAUGAAUGGCAUAACGAGGGCUUAACUGUCUCCUUUUUCAAGUCAAUGAAAUUGAUUUCCCCGUGCAGAAGCGGGGAUAAGAACAUAAGACGAGAAGACCCUAUGGAGCUUUAGACAUCGAGGUAGACCAUCUUAAAACCCCACGCAAAAGGGAAUUGAGCCUAAUGGAUCCUACCCUAAUGUCUUUGGUUGGGGCGACCGCGGAGUAAUAAGAAACCUCCGCAUGGACUGGGCAUACAAUUUCCCACAGCUAAGAGUCACAACUCGACCCAACAGUACUUCUGACCUUUAUGAUCCGGCAACGCCGAUUAACGGACCGAGUUACCCUAGGGAUAACAGCGCAAUCCCCUUUUAGAGCCCAUAUCGACAAGGGGGUUUACGACCUCGAUGUUGGAUCAGGACAUCCUAAUGGUGCAGCCGCUAUUAAGGGUUCGUUUGUUCAACGAUUAAAGUCCU
Molecule: ribosomal RNA, 579 nt
Filed under: Liopropoma lunulatum
Lineage: Eukaryota; Metazoa; Chordata; Actinopteri; Perciformes; Serranidae
Description: partial 16S ribosomal RNA
Rfam family: Bacterial large subunit ribosomal RNA
Source: RNAcentral